GGUGUAAAGACUAAUAAAUAUCCUUAUGAUCUUAAAAGCUUAUUGAUAUCACGGGUUUACAUUUCCGAUACACAGCUUCUUUAGUUGGUUUGCUGAUGAAAACUACAGGGAUGAAAGCCACGACGAGGUUGUAGAUAUUAUAAAGGAUUUGUGGCAGGAUCCCGUUACAUAUUUCAUCGAUGUAACUACCAUUUAAACGAUAAGCCUUUGUUUCAGUACUGUUAACUCUCCUGUGUUACUUGGUAAAUUUAUUUGAUUGGGCUACGACUUUAGAAUUCUGAUGAGGAAGAGGCUGAUACUGAUGAAGAAGAGGGGGAUGACUACAUCGUGUAUGAGCAUAGUGAAAAUAGUGAGAUAGAGUAGAGGACGAGGACGAGGACGAGGACUACUGUGACAUCGAGAAGGAAGUUUAUGUCUAUACUGACUGCUGCAAGUCUAGUAGAAAAAGAAUAUUAUCGUAUGCUAAAUGUAUUCCUCGUCAUCCUAUAAUGCUCUAUGUAUUAACUAUAAUGCCCAUAUUCUGUUUGUAAUUGCUAUUGUUAUAUAUUCUCGUUCCGUAGUUUAUAUUUUCACGAUUACGGGGAGUGGAGUUAAGUCUUAUUUGAACUAGAGAGAAAAAUCAUUUUCUCACUUGUUCAUGCGGUUGGCAGAUAGAGAUUGGUGAGGAUGAUAAGGAAGACAGCUACAUUGACUCUGUAGAAGAAGAAUACUUUGAAGAAGACUAUUGUUUUGAUUGAUCAGCGAUGCCCUAGACCUAGAGGACAGGACAACAGGGAAUUCUAUGACUAUAGUGACUGCGAUAUGCUAAACGUAUUCCCGUCAUCUAUUAAUGCAAG
Molecule: long non-coding RNA, 836 nt
Organism: Humulus lupulus (European hop)
Lineage: Eukaryota; Viridiplantae; Streptophyta; Magnoliopsida; Rosales; Cannabaceae
Exons: 3
Source: RefSeq, a predicted model, not a curated record